Molecule: transfer RNA, 72 nt
Organism: Orchesella cincta
Lineage: Eukaryota; Metazoa; Arthropoda; Collembola; Entomobryomorpha; Orchesellidae
Rfam family: tRNA
About the family: Transfer RNA (tRNA) molecules are approximately 80 nucleotides in length. Their secondary structure includes four short double-helical elements and three loops (D, anti-codon, and T loops).
Source: Rfam
GGCUUUGUGGUGUAAUGGUCAGCACUUUGGACUCUGAAUCCAACAAUCCCAGUUCGAAUCUGGGCAGGGCCU